Macadamia integrifolia is the source of this 1065-nucleotide long non-coding RNA. RefSeq lists it as uncharacterized. The record is from RefSeq and is a predicted model, not a curated record. NCBI's taxonomy places the organism in Eukaryota, Viridiplantae, Streptophyta, Magnoliopsida, Proteales, Proteaceae. The transcript has 4 exons.
UCACGUACAUUCACGUACAUGAAUAUUCACUUUCCUCAGUCUCUUUGGGAGCCGAAAGGACAUGGUCAUGGUGAGCAUCAGUGCACCAUAGUUUGAAAGUGAUGAAAAGUUCAUCUCUGGAUUUGAUGAGGCCAAGGCUUUGGGCUUCUUUGAUGGUUUCUCCAAGAGGCUCCUCUGAUUGAUAUAGUGCAGCUGAGGGUUGUUCACGUACGUGAAUAUUCCCUGCUCUCAAAUAGACUUUCUGGAAUCUUCAAUUGGAAUAUCUUGAUCUCCACCUCGUCCAUUAUCCUGCAAGUUUGAAGCCAGGGGAAUAUAAGUUUCCCUUUAAUAAGAAAGACCUUCUCCCUAUACAUCUCAAAUCUGUUUGGGAAUCAAUGGAGCAAUGUCAGAAGGUUGGCCUCACCAGAUUCAUCGGAGUCAGCAACUUCCCUUGCAAGAAGCUCCAAGAUUUACUUACUAUAGCCAAAAUCCCUCCAGCCGUCAGUCAAGUGGAGAUGAACCCAGUUUGGCAGCAGAAGAAGCUUAGGGAGUUCUGCAAAGAAAAGGAAGACAUAUUACUGCUUACUCUCCCUUGGGUGCCAAAGGAACACCUUGGGGCACUAACAGAGUUAUGGAGUGUGAGGUACUAAAAGAGAUAGCAGAGGCAAGAGGAAAGACAAUUGCUCAGGUUUGCUUGAGAUGGGUGUACAAGAAAGGGGUGAGCAUAGUCAUGAAGAGCUUUAACAAGGAAAGGUUGAAGGAGAACCUACAAAUCUUUGAUUGGAAGCUAAGCCAAGAGGAAUUGCAGAAGAUCGAUGGCAUUAAUUUCACAAAAGAAAGGAUAUCCUGCAUUGGAAUUUAUCUCAGAGGAAGGCCCUUUCAAAUCUCGAUGAGCUUUGGGAUGAGGAGAUAGAUAAUAAAUAGGGAUGAUCAUGGCCUCGCAAACAAGGAAGGCCUUAUCAUUAACGUGUUCAAAAAUUUGGCUAAUUUCCAAUCGAUGGAUUCAGGCUCAAUGUUGUCCCUCAUCCAUGAGUUCUUGACAUUAGUUUGAAUAAAUUUCCAUUUAACAAAAACAAAAAUUGUAGC